UACGUAGGGGGCGAGCGUUGUCCGGAUUUACUGGGCGUAAAGCGCGUGUAGGCGGCGAUUUAAGUCGGGUGUGAAAGCCCGGGGCUCAACCCCGGAGCGCCGCCCGAGACUGGGUCGCUUGAGGUCGGAAGAGGGGAGUGGAAUUCCAGGUGUAGCGGUGAAAUGCGUAGAGAUCUGGAGGAACACCCGUGGCGAAGGCGGCUCCCUGGUCCGAUUCUGACGCUGAGACGCGAAAGCGCGGGGAGCGAACGGG
RNAcentral lists this ribosomal RNA (253 nucleotides) under uncultured Armatimonadota bacterium. RNAcentral describes it as "uncultured Armatimonadetes bacterium partial 16S ribosomal RNA". It matches the Rfam family "Bacterial small subunit ribosomal RNA", at positions 524 to 776 of the family's 1533-position model. The record is from RNAcentral. Lineage: Bacteria; Bacillati; Armatimonadota.